This 116-nucleotide ribosomal RNA is filed under the name bacterium. The record is from RNAcentral.
GCUGGUGAUUUAGUCGCGCGUGAACCACCUCUUCCCAUUCCGAACAGAGAAGUGAAAUCGCGCAGCCUCGAUGAUAUUCGUUGCUUCGGCUUCUGAGAAAGUAGAGUUCGCCAGCA